This is a long non-coding RNA of Mirounga angustirostris (Northern elephant seal), 518 nucleotides long. RefSeq lists it as uncharacterized. Lineage: Eukaryota; Metazoa; Chordata; Mammalia; Carnivora; Phocidae. The transcript has 3 exons. The record is from RefSeq and is a predicted model, not a curated record.
AGUAGAUGCAAAUAUGAAAAUAAAAGGCAAUGUGGUGUGAUGAAAUGAGCAGUGGUCUUGGAGAUGUGGCUUCUAAUUCCGUGUGAUCUUGGACAUAUCACUCAGUCAAUCUGAACUCCAUUCCAUAUCUGGAGACUGACAGGGAUUUUGCCAUUCUCUAGGGGACCUACAAGAAUGUUCAAUGAACUCUGAGGGGGAAGAAUUUCUUCUUGGGAACUGCCCCCAGAGAGCCUUGUUUGGAGAGAAUAUGGCCCUGGAGCAGAUCCUGAGCACAUUGCAUUUCUUCUCUGGACCAAAUCUGAGGAGACAUGGUCUUAGCCAAGGAUAAGUGAAUGGCUCUUCCACCUGGAACUUCAUCAGAGCAUCAGUGCCUCUCUUGAAUCUACUUAGACUGCUCUUUGCCAGUUCGGCCCUGCCACAGGUGAGGCGGCUGAAGCUUUGAGCAGUCCUGCCUCACCACUCCAUGGCAAAGCUGGGACUGAAGCCAGGUUUUCCAGCUGGUGUGUUCCAAUCCAACC